This 330-nucleotide unclassified non-coding RNA is filed under the name soil metagenome. RNAcentral describes it as "partial contains 5.8S ribosomal RNA, internal transcribed spacer 2, and large subunit ribosomal RNA". The stretch from base 1 to 120 matches the Rfam family "5.8S ribosomal RNA", at positions 35 to 154 of the family's 154-position model. The record is from RNAcentral.
GAUGAAGAACGCAGCGAAAUGCGAUAAGUAAUGUGAAUUGCAGAAUUCAGUGAAUCAUCGAGUCUUUGAACGCACAUUGCGCCCCCUGGUAUUCCGGGGGGCAUGCCUGUCCGAGCGUCAUUUCAACCCUCAAGCACAGCUUGGUCUUGGGCUUCGCCGCUAACCCGGCGGGUCUUAAAAUCAGUGGCGGUGCCGUCGGGCCCUGAGCGCAGUAAUCUCUCUCGCUAUAGGGUCCCGGCGGAUGCUGGCCAGUAACCCCCAAUUUUCUAUGGUUGACCUCGGAUCAGGUAGGGAUACCCGCUGAACUUAAGCAUAUCAAUAAGCGGAGGA